This 582-nucleotide ribosomal RNA is filed under the name uncultured bacterium. RNAcentral's name for it is "partial 16S ribosomal RNA". It matches the Rfam family "Bacterial small subunit ribosomal RNA", at positions 356 to 935 of the family's 1533-position model. The record is from RNAcentral.
UGGGAAUUUUGGACAAUGGGCGCAAGCCUGAUCCAGCCAUGCCGCGUGCGGGAAGAAGGCCUUCGGGUUGUAAACCGCUUUUGUCAGGGAAGAAAUCUUCUGAGUUAAUACCUCGGGAGGAUGACGGUACCUGAAGAAUAAGCACCGGCUAACUACGUGCCAGCAGCCGCGGUAAUACGUAGGGUGCAAGCGUUAAUCGGAAUUACUGGGCGUAAAGCGUGCGCAGGCGGUUUUGUAAGACAGAGGUGAAAUCCCCGGGCUCAACCUGGGAACUGCCUUUGUGACUGCAAGGCUUGAGUGCGGCAGAGGGGGAUGGAAUUCCGCGUGUAGCAGUGAAAUGCGUAGGUAUGCGGAGGAACACCGAUGGCGAAGGCAAUCCCCUGGGCCUGCACUGACGCUCAUGCACGAAAGCGUGGGGAGCAAAACAGGAUUAGAUACCCUGGUAGUCCACGCCCUAAACGAUGUCAACUGGUUGUUGGGAAGGUUCCUUCUCAGUAACGUAGCUAACGCGUGAAGUUGACCGCCUGGGGAGUACGGCCGCAAGGUUGAAACUUAAAUGAAUUGACGGGGUCAUAGCUGUUU